CCAAGCUUAGUUUAUAAUUAAAACACUAAUUUGUGAUAUUAGAAAUGAGAAAUUCCUCAGCUAGUC
This 66-nucleotide transfer RNA is filed under the name Ophiophthalmus normani. Its description in RNAcentral is "tRNA-His". The record is from RNAcentral. Lineage: Eukaryota; Metazoa; Echinodermata; Ophiuroidea; Amphilepidida; Ophiacanthidae. RNAcentral also lists the same sequence under 1 other name.